ACACUAUUGAGGAGUUCAACAAUAGAACGAAACGGCCGUCCAGUAC
This is a non-coding RNA of Schistosoma curassoni, 46 nucleotides long. The record is from Rfam. NCBI's taxonomy places the organism in Eukaryota, Metazoa, Platyhelminthes, Trematoda, Strigeidida, Schistosomatidae.